RNAcentral lists this microRNA (22 nucleotides) under Python bivittatus (Burmese python). Its description in RNAcentral is "pbv-miR-22-5p". Its record names the gene pbv-miR-22-5p. The record is from miRBase by way of RNAcentral. Lineage: Eukaryota; Metazoa; Chordata; Lepidosauria; Squamata; Pythonidae.
AGUUCUUCAGUGGCACGCUUUA